GACGAACGCUGGCGGCGUGCCUAAUACAUGCAAGUUGAGCGCUGAAGGUUGGUACUUGUACCAACUGGAUGAGCAGCGAACGGGUGAGUAACGCGUGGGGAAUCUGCCUUUGAGCGGGGGACAACAUUUGGAAACGAAUGCUAAUACCGCAUAAAAACUUUAAACACAAGUUUUAAGUUUGAAAGAUGCAAUUGCAUCACUCAAAGAUGAUCCCGCGUUGUAUUAGCUAGUUGGUGAGGUAAAGGCUCACCAAGGCGAUGAUACAUAGCCGACCUGAGAGGGUGGUCGGCCACAUUGGGACUGAGACACGGCUCAAACUCCUACGGGAGGCAGCAGGAGGGAAUCUUAGGCAAGGGAAGAAAGUCUGACCGAGCAACGGCGCGGGAGUGGAGAAUGUUUUCGGAUCGUAAAAAUCUGUUGGUAGAGAAGAACGUUGGUGAGAGUGGAAAGCUCAUAAAGUGACGGUAACUACCCAGAAAGGGACGGCUAACUACGUG
RNAcentral lists this ribosomal RNA (497 nucleotides) under uncultured bacterium. RNAcentral's name for it is "partial 16S ribosomal RNA". It matches the Rfam family "Bacterial small subunit ribosomal RNA", at positions 28 to 507 of the family's 1533-position model. The record is from RNAcentral.